Carya illinoinensis is the source of this 531-nucleotide long non-coding RNA. RefSeq lists it as uncharacterized. The transcript is spliced from 2 exons. The record is from RefSeq and is a predicted model, not a curated record. Lineage: Eukaryota; Viridiplantae; Streptophyta; Magnoliopsida; Fagales; Juglandaceae.
GCUACCACAUAUUUCGGCUCCUUUGAUGGGCUUUCAUCUAUAAAUUACCCUCCAUGCAUGGUGAUUCUCUCAACUCAGCACUAUCCAAAGAAACAGUCGUCCACUCCUCACUUGAAAGGAAAAACAGCGACGGAAAGAAUGGCUAACUGUGAUAACAAAUCUGUCGCUUUUCUUAACUUGGUUCUUGUGCUGUCUCUUCUUCUCCCGAUCUCCAUCACAGAAUGCAGACAACUCCGCAGUGGGAUUGGACAGGAGAGUGUUGCUAUAUAUUGAAUGCAACUCAGUCUACGGUGCAGAAGAUGGCGAUACUUGCACUGGCAUUAUUCAAAAGUUCGGUCUGAAUGAUGAGUUCUUUAGUACCAUAAACCCUAAUCUCAGCUACGAGAAAAUCUUUCUUGGCCAAUGGCUUUGCAUCAAUGGGACAGUGAAUUGAGUUUCCGGUUAAGCUCCAUCGCCUUCUUAUUUGUCAUUUACUAAGAGUCACAAAAAGUCUGUUUGCCAUGUUCAGAAUUUAGUGCAUUUCGAUAUAAA